GUAGGUGAACCUGCGGAAGGAUCAUUAUAGAUUUUAAGGUUGAUGGCUGAGGGGUAGGGUGCUGUGAGCAAAUGCGUAAGCAUUAUGCGUGCAGCAUUCUACUUUUCUUUCACAACAAAACAUGUUCGAUGUUAGGUUAGAGAUUGUGGUGGUAUCAUGAUAGUGAUAUUGUGAUACUAUUAUAAUUCCGCAUAACAUUGCUACACUUGCUUAUUCUUGUUUGUCAAAGUAAAACUACCAAUAUAUUAUA
Molecule: unclassified non-coding RNA, 250 nt
Filed under: plant metagenome
Description: partial contains small subunit ribosomal RNA, internal transcribed spacer 1, and 5.8S ribosomal RNA
Source: RNAcentral